This 468-nucleotide ribosomal RNA is filed under the name uncultured bacterium. RNAcentral describes it as "partial 16S ribosomal RNA". It matches the Rfam family "Bacterial small subunit ribosomal RNA", at positions 28 to 507 of the family's 1533-position model. The record is from RNAcentral.
GACGAACGCUGGCGGCGUGCUUAACACAUGCAAGUCGAACGGAAAGGCCCUGCUUUUGUGGGGUGCUCGAGUGGCGAACGGGUGAGUAACACGUGAGUAACCUGCCCUUGACUUUGGGAUAACUUCAGGAAACUGGGGCUAAUACCGGAUAGGAGCUCCUGCUGCAUGGUGGGGGUUGGAAAGUUUCGGCGGUUGGGGAUGGACUCGCGGCUUAUCAGCUUGUUGGUGGGGUAGUGGCUUACCAAGGCUUUGACGGGUAGCCGGCCUGAGGGGGUGACCGGCAACAUUGGGACUGAGAGACGGCCCAGACUCCUACGGGAGGCAGCAGUGGGGAAUAUGGCACAAUGGGCGGAAGCCUGAUGCAGCAACGCCGCGUGCGGGAUGACGGCCUUCGGGUUGUAAACCGCUUUCGCCUGUGACGAAGCGUGAGUGACGGUAAUGGGUAAAGAAGCACCGGCUAACUACGUG